RNAcentral lists this ribosomal RNA (301 nucleotides) under uncultured bacterium. Its description in RNAcentral is "partial 16S ribosomal RNA". It matches the Rfam family "Bacterial small subunit ribosomal RNA", at positions 509 to 809 of the family's 1533-position model. The record is from RNAcentral.
CAGUCGCCGCGGUAAUACAGAGGGUGCGAGCGUUAAUCGGAUUUACUGGGCGUAAAGCGUGCGUAGGCGGCUUUUUAAGUCGGAUGUGAAAUCCCUGAGCUUAACUUAGGAAUUGCAUUCGAUACUGGGAAGCUAGAGUAUGGGAGAGGAUGGUAGAAUUCCAGGUGUAGCGGUGAAAUGCGUAGAGAUCUGGAGGAAUACCGAAGGCGAAGGCAGCCAUCUGGCCUAAUACUGACGCUGAGGUACGAAAGCAUGGGGAGCAAACAGGAUUAGAUACCCCAGUAGUCCCUGUCUCUUAUAU